AGUGAACGCUGGCGGUAGGCCUAACACAUGCAAGUCGAACGGCAACACAGUAAGAGCUGGCUCUGACGGGUGGCGGGGGGCGGAAGGGUGAGGAACACAUCGGAAUCUACUGUUUAGCGGGGGAUAACGUAGGGAAACACACGCUAAUACCUCAGACGACCUGCGGGGGACAGCACGGCAACGUUUGACCUCGCGCGAUUGAAUGAGCCGAUGUCGGAUUAGCUAGUUGGCGGGGUAAAGGCCCACCAAGGCGACGAUCCGUAGCUGGUCUGAGAGGAUGAUCAGCCACACUGGAACUGAGACACGGUCCAGACUCCUACGGGAGGCAGCAGUGGGGAAUAUUGGACAAUGGGCGCAAGCCUGAUCCAGCCAUACCGCGUGGGUGAAGAAGGCCUUCGGGUUGUAAAGCCCUUUUGUUGGGAAAGAAAAGCAGCCGGUUAAUACCCCGCUGUUCUGACGGUACCCAAAGAAUAAGCACCGGCUAACUUCGUG
RNAcentral lists this ribosomal RNA (492 nucleotides) under uncultured bacterium. RNAcentral's name for it is "partial 16S ribosomal RNA". It matches the Rfam family "Bacterial small subunit ribosomal RNA", at positions 29 to 507 of the family's 1533-position model. The record is from RNAcentral.